ACAUGUUGUUUUGUUUAACAAUAAUAAUAAAAAUAUGGCUAAAGACAGGGAAAAUGAAUUAAGAAUAUACAAGAAAAGCAAAUUUGACUUAGAUGCUUGUGAGAUUUUAUCCAAAAUUCCAGGCAUACUAAAUAAUAUUAGAGUACAAGCAGUGAUGGAAGAGAGGAAUAAAGAUAGAAGUCAAUGAAAGGAGAGAAAAGUCUGAAGAAAUGCCACCUUCCUCCCAAUUUCCCGGAUUGAAUGUGUCAUUUAAAUCCAUUAAUUCUUCCACAGAAACAUGUCAUGUCCAUUCACUCCUUUUUCAUUUUCCUCUGGUCCACUGACAUGUGGCCAGUAGACAUAAAGACAAUUGAAAAUUUUAAUCAUGUUAUUUUUCUGUCCAAACAAUGGCCCCCACAGAUCUUCACAAGAGUCAAACUCAGCUUGGCCUCAAGGCCUGACUGCCUCCCAGUCCCACAAAUACUUCCCGUAAUUAAGUCCCAUAACUCACCUUUCCAAACCCUUAAAAAAAUUAAACUGGAUUAUUUCUGUCCUCUGAACAUUCGUCUCCUUCCCUACAACUUGGUUCCCCUACUUUUUUUUCUCCUUGUAUUAUUUUCCCUGCUUAGUCUCACCAUGCCAAUGUCCCCUCUGCUUCAUAAGUGACAAGGUGAUAUCCUGGUAACGAUGAGGCCUUCCCAGAAUAGACCCUCAACCCAUUUCCUCUGUCUGCCUCUUUGUAGAAAAACUUUAGUCAAAGAAUCAAUUUAAUCAGAGAAGUGAGAAAAUGCAGAAAGAAAGAAAAAAAGCAGUCAAGCAACACAAAAUAAUAACAGUUUAGCUAUUCAACAAAGUCAAAGACUUUUAGUUCUUCUUCAAGGACUACAGAUAAAAGUAUAUGUCCUUGGAGCUGUUUUACAGGUGCUGAAGCCUCCACAGGUUCUAAUAAGUCAACUGUAUGCUGCCCCUAAGCAUGCAGACCCCAGACAGGUUGGAACCAGAAGUUUGAUGAUGCUGGUUCCCAAUUACCUCCCCACCCAGCAAUCAGAAGAAUGUCCAUGAGCUGAUCAAGCCCCACCCUUUGAACACCAUAAGGCUCCCCGAUACCUGCUCCAGGACAGGACACAAAGUUUUGAGGGCACUAGUCUGCAGUGGCCCCCUUUGCCUGGCAAAGCAAUAAAGCUACUCUUUUCUAUUUUACCUCAAACUCUGUCUCCAUGAUUCAAUUCAGUGCCAGUGUCCAGAGGCUGAGUUUUGGCAAGAAAGAGGCAACUCUUUGUACAUGUCUUGAGUUCAAAUCUUUGUUUCCUAUCUGUGCAAUCUUAGUUCCUUAAACUUCUAUGACUCACGGACCUCGAGUGUAAAAAGGGAAUACAAUACGAUGAUAAUUAGAGGAUUUUUGUCUAUAUUAUGCUAGUUAGUACAUGUAAAGCCAGGUAAGUAAUGAACACUGAACAAGUUUUAGCUCUCUCUAGGUGCUGAAUUUGUAAGGACUAUUGAAGCCAUUUAAUUUGUAAUUAAUUAUAUGGUGUCCAUUGUAAUUUUGCAACAUUUAGUUGAGCAGUUUAUUGAUUUCUCAUAUGCUGCUUUGGCUUUUUGAACCUAUAUGUUUUGUCUUCGCAACUAUAAACCUUGAAUUCUAUACACCACUACUCCCUUUCCACUCACAAAUUUUCAAACAAAUACAAAUUAAAGACAUUUAAAAAUACAGGCAUUGAACUAGAAGUGGGAAAAUCGAAUCCUAAUUCCAGAUAACUACUAACUAUAAUUGAUACAGGAAAAUCAGAUAGUUCCUCUAAAUCUGUUCAUUCAUAAAAUAAGUAUUCUCUUGGAUUCUUGAUGAUCUUUAGCUAUAGGUGGUUGAAAGCACUUUGAACAAGAGGUUUGUACUGUUAUAAGAUGCUGAGGUUAUAGUCAUUGUAUGGCCUCAACAAGUAAUUGUUAUUUGAUUUACUGACAAAAUGGCACAGAAUUUAAGUAAUUACUUUGAACUGAAGAACUUUUAAUUAAUUUAUUUUAUCUAUGCAGAAGUUUGAAUUAAGAGUUUAGAGACCAGAGCUCUAGUUAUUAACCCACUUACUUUUCUCUUUGACCUUUAGUAUGUCACUUAUCCUAAUUGAAUGCCAUCCUAAUCCUCCUGGUGAAUAAUAACAGCCUGGUGUUGACCAAUGGAAGAGAUUUCGGAUACAAAAAAAAGACACAUUCCUCAAGACGAUUUACUGCCCUCUGCUGGAAAACUGUGAAAAUAAAUAUGUGUUCUACCAGGAUGACUAUGUUAGCGCCCCCUAAGGUUGUUCAUCACACAGCUUUUAUAAUCAUUCAGAUGAAUGCUGCCUAAUAAGAUGUCUGAGACACUGUAUGUAAUGAUGAAUGAGCCAUUCUCAUCAAUGAAUUUAGCUCUGCCCACUCAAUACCUUUUUCUAAUCACUGAGCAGCUUAUGAUAUUUUUAAAAAAAUAAUGUUUUUAAACCAUAGACAGAUUUAUAUACAUAUAUGUAUGUAUGUAUAUUAUACAGAAAUAUAAACAAUGUGUGUAUAGUAGGGCUGACAUUUUAUAAGAUGCCCACCCAUGCUUCUUAUGACAGUUGCUCAAGCAGCACAGCAAAGCUAACUAGCCAGAUAUUUUUCUAUCAGAUUCUCAAAUAAAUAAUGGCUCUGUGAGAUGAAGUUACUUCUUCAAAGUCAAAAAGACUUUUCGUAAGUCUUCUGAUUCCAAAUCCAGUGUUUUUCUCCAUUUCUGCCCAGAAAACUUUCAUUAAUUGCCCUGAAAUUCUUCAAAGGAUCAUUUGCUGAUUGAUAUGCUUAUAAAUACUCUCAAAAUUGUCUCAUUCGCCUCUUAACUGUUUAAAGUCAGGCAAGUUUAUUUCCUUACAUCAUAGCUUUCUAAUAUCUCUCAUAAUGUUUGAUGAAUUGUUAGUGGCACAAAUGAAUAAGUGAAACUAGGAAGUAUGUUGAUAGCUAUUGGAGUUCAGCAAUAUUAUUAUAAUUGUAAAUAGCUAGAAGGUAUUAAAAUAUUUAAAAGAGUGCCAUACAGAACCACUUUUAUUUGCUGAACAAUUAAAGAUACCUUGGCUCUCUGAAGCGCAGGAAUAUUACAUUUCAUAAAAGCAUAAAAGCACUGGUUGCAUCUUAAAGUGUUCUCAUAUCACACAGUUUGGAAAAUUAAAACAAAUUUAUAAUCUUUUAAAUAGUCUUAGCUUCAAUAUAAUUGGGAUAGUAUAAAGGGCACAAGGAAUUUAGAAUCUAGAUCAAUAAUCAUUGAAAAACAAAGACAUUCUUUUUAUUCAGAAUAUUAAAAUUAUAAAUUGUUAAAUUAAUUUUGCAUACACCCAAUCCUAGAGGAUUAAUUUUAUUUUAGAUCAAAAAAAAAAAAAAAGCAAGUCAGACUAGCUCUACAACUUAUGGAGCACUUUAUUCAUGCUCUUGAAAGUUCGCUGCUGUGAGAGAGGACCCUGAAAAUAGAUGAAUUAAAAUCAUUUCCCAAAUGUCAAAGCCAGAGAAAGCAGCAAGAGGAGUUCCAGGGUCUUCUGGACUGACCACCCUAUUUCCAUUCUCAUUGCUCCCUUACAAGGAAAGAAGCAAAAGACAAAUGAGACUGUUCAGCUCAGUUACUAGCCUCAAUCUCUGCAGCUCAUUUCUCAGUCUCAUUACAAAUUAGAUCCCUGUUUGAAAAAAAAAAAAAAUCCAUUUUAUUUACAGGACAAUAUGAAGUUGAGAAUUUCUUCUUGGUCAGCCCGAGGUUCUUUUGUUCCACAAAUCGCUUCUUUAAUAGGGCGUUACCUCUGACAGACCAUUAGCCCUGUGUCAUUGAAAAGAUUCCAGGAACACUCAGGACCCAACUUCCCUUCUUGUUCUAUGAACUCCCAAUCAGCUUUAGAAACUAGACCAAAGGCUCUGCGUAAUCCCUUUGACAUAAAGCAGUGGAAAGAAACCCUUUGGUUAUUCAUGAACAAUAACGAUAUUAAUUUACAUAGCCUAUCCUCUCUAAGUGCAAAUGAAUAUGGAGUUGAUUCAAUUAGAAACCUUACCAAAAAAGAGGCUGACAGCAAAGAAUUAGAGCCAAGAAGAUAAGAGAGGCUGUGUCUGCUUAACACCCUACCCAGAAGAUAGGUUUGUGGAGACCUCCCGGUAGACCUGAAGUUAGCAGAUACCCAUGCACCUGUGCUUUAUUUUUACAGAUACACUUCUCUACAAACCAUAUCUUACUAGCACUUUCCCAGAAAGAGUAAUCAGAAGCAGAUGCCUGUGAGCUUAACUAAUUAACUGGGCAAUUCAUCCCUCCUCUCCCCAUGAUUUUGGCUUAGGUGAGUGUUCUAUGUAUGUAUCUUGUACUGGAUUAUAAGAGAGAUGAAUAGCUCUCUUCUGGCUUUAUAUUUUUGUACAACAAUGCCUCUAAUUUAUGUAUGUGAACACUGAGUAAUAGAUGUUUAUGAAUCACACUUAGGUAAUUUGUAUAAGAAGAAGAAAACUAUUUUAAAAAUUAAAAAAGAUUCAGGAAAGCCACCCAUACUUACUACAAUUUGGGAAUCUAAAUUUACACAGAUUCAAACAGCACAUGUCCUGUGAAUCACAGACUCAAGUUACCACUUGAGAUUGACAAUGAAGAGGCUGUGACCAAGUUUUAAAUACAAAGGAAAGAUAAUUGCAAAAGUUAGAGUUAUGGAAUCUCUGUUCCACUGACAAUUCAAUUCAGACUCCCUGACAAUUAAAUCCCAACCUCACUUCAUUAGAUAUGAAUCUUGCAGUGGAAAUGAGAGGCUUUUAAAGGAGCUUUUCUGCUACAAUUAAAAAAAAAAAAAAAAAGGCUCUCACUACAGUAGAA
Molecule: long non-coding RNA, 4801 nt
Filed under: Sus scrofa (pig)
Lineage: Eukaryota; Metazoa; Chordata; Mammalia; Artiodactyla; Suidae
Description: lncRNA (ENSSSCG00035079673.1)
Source: RNAcentral